Molecule: ribosomal RNA, 671 nt
Filed under: uncultured bacterium
Lineage: Bacteria
Description: bacterial SSU rRNA
Rfam family: Bacterial small subunit ribosomal RNA
Source: RNAcentral
GUCGAACGAGACCUUCGGGUCUAGUGGCGCACGGGUGCGUAACGCGUAGGCAAUCUACCCGAUACAGGGGAAUAACACGGGGAAACUCGUGCUAAUACCGCGUAAUAAAUGAGAAGGCAUCUUCUUAUUUUAAAAGCUUCGGCGGUAUCGGAAGAGCCUGCGUCCUAUUAGCUAGUUGGUAAGGUAACAGCUUACCAAGGCGACGAUAGGUAGGGGAACUGAGAGGUUGAUCCCCCACACUGGUACUGAGAUACGGACCAGACUCCUACGGGAGGCAGCAGUGAGGAAUAUUGGUCAAUGGACGGAAGUCUGAACCAGCCAUGUCGCGUGUCGGAAGACGGCCCUCUGGGUUGUAAACGGCUUUUCUUUGGGAAGAACACGCUCUUGCGAGAGCAACUGACGGUACCAAAGGAAUAAGCACCGGCUAACUACGUGCCAGCAGCCGCGGUAAUACGUAGGGUGCAAGCGUUGUCCGGAUUUAUUGGGUUUAAAGGGUGCGUAGGCGGCUAUUUAAGUCGUGGGUGAAAGCCCGUCGCUUAACGACGGAAUUGCCUGCGAUACUGGAUAGCUUGAGUAUCGUUAAGGUUGGCGGAAUGGGAGGUGUAGCGGUGAAAUGCAUAGAUACCUUCCAGAACACCGAUUGCGUAGGCAGCUGACUAGGCGAUAACUGA